UGAUGGUACACUGAAAAAAUGGUCUGAGAGGGGUUGCUCAAAUUGCAAAAACUUUUCUCUGUCCAGCAUGUUUAAAUCUUACAAACAUCGCUUGAUUGUGGCCGAUGUGAGACCUGCAUGUUUUAAUCAGGUUGAGGAAACAUGACUUUAUUAUAAUUUCUGGUGAGGCUCCUCCCUCUGGAAUUCUCCUCCUCAAAACUUUUGGAGGGAAAAUUCAAAUGUAACAGGACACAGGACAGUUCCAGGAGCAGAGGACACACAGUGUGGAGCAGGAGGAUUAUGAGAGCUGAUCUGGAGAGUCGUCUACAAACAAAGAGUGAUAUCCAGAGCUCUGCUGGAGCUGUGGGGAAGUUCAUGAAUGUUACAGCUGAUGUUUCAGAAAAAAGGAAGAUGUUUGAGAACCAACAAAACACAGAGCACAUAUGAACAAAGAGGACUUUAUACCAGAUGCCCUACCUGUUACUGCGUUUAGAGGAAGAAAAGUAGCACAUGGCAGAGACCAGAGCGUCUUCACUGGAAUAAAUCUUCACACUGUCCAGCUCCAAACUGUGUGUCUCUGUACUUUGUGCUCUUUGUAUGUUUGAUUCUGUUAAGACAAUACAGAACUGUGGAAAACUAAAGACUAUUUUUGUAUUAUUUUACAGAAUUAGAUCAAUUUAAUUUAAUUAUACAUACUUAUACAUUUCACAAUAAGGUAACAUAAGAUAAAUAUGCAUAUUCAGCAUUAUUUGAUCAAAUUUCAUCAACAUGAAAAAGUGACAUUAUGUUUUGAGAAAAAUAUGUGUAGAGGGA
This is a long non-coding RNA of Boleophthalmus pectinirostris (great blue-spotted mudskipper), 792 nucleotides long. RefSeq lists it as uncharacterized. The transcript is spliced from 4 exons. NCBI's taxonomy places the organism in Eukaryota, Metazoa, Chordata, Actinopteri, Gobiiformes, Gobiidae. The record is from RefSeq and is a predicted model, not a curated record.